RNAcentral lists this ribosomal RNA (1191 nucleotides) under Salmonella enterica. RNAcentral describes it as "partial 23S ribosomal RNA". It matches the Rfam family "Bacterial large subunit ribosomal RNA", at positions 657 to 1828 of the family's 2925-position model. Lineage: Bacteria; Pseudomonadati; Pseudomonadota; Gammaproteobacteria; Enterobacterales; Enterobacteriaceae. RNAcentral also lists the same sequence under 1 other name. The record is from RNAcentral.
AUAGGGGAGCCGCAGGGAAACCGAGUCUUAACCGGGCGUUAAGUUGCAGGGUAUAGACCCGAAACCCGGUGAUCUAGCCAUGGGCAGGUUGAAGGUUGGGUAACACUAACUGGAGGACCGAACCGACUAAUGUUGAAAAAUUAGCGGAUGACCUGUGGCUGGGGGUGAAAGGCCAAUCAAACCGGGAGAUAGCUGGUUCUCCCCGAAAGCUAUUUAGGUAGCGCCUCGUGAACUCAUCUUCGGGGGUAGAGCACUGUUUCGGCUAGGGGGUCAUCCCGACUUACCAACCCGAUGCAAACUGCGAAUACCGGAGAAUGUUAUCACGGGAGACACACGGCGGGUGCUAACGUCCGUCGUGAAGAGGGAAACAACCCAGACCGCCAGCUAAGGUCCCAAAGUCAUGGUUAAGUGGGAAACGAUGUGGGAAGGCCCAGACAGCCAGGAUGUUGGCUUAGAAGCAGCCAUCAUUUAAAGAAAGCGUAAUAGCUCACUGGUCGAGUCGGCCUGCGCGGAAGAUGUAACGGGGCUAAACCAUGCACCGAAGCUGCGGCAGCGACGCUUAUGCGUUGUUGGGUAGGGGAGCGUUCUGUAAGCCGUUGAAGGUGGCCUGUGAGGGUUGCUGGAGGUAUCAGAAGUGCGAAUGCUGACAUAAGUAACGAUAAAGCGGGUGAAAAGCCCGCUCGCCGGAAGACCAAGGGUUCCUGUCCAACGUUAAUCGGGGCAGGGUGAGUCGACCCCUAAGGCGAGGCCGAAAGGCGUAGUCGAUGGGAAACAGGUUAAUAUUCCUGUACUCGGUGUUACUGCGAAGGGGGGACGGAGAAGGCUAUGUUGGCCGGGCGACGGUUGUCCCGGUUUAAGCAUGUAGGCGGGUGUUCCAGGUAAAUCCGGAACGCUGUUAACGCUGAGGUGUGAUGACGAGGCACUACGGUGCUGAAGCAACAAAUGCCCUGCUUCCAGGAAAAGCCUCUAAGCAUCAGGUAACAUCAAAUCGUACCCCAAACCGACACAGGUGGUCAGGUAGAGAAUACCAAGGCGCUUGAGAGAACUCGGGUGAAGGAACUAGGCAAAAUGGUGCCGUAACUUCGGGAGAAGGCACGCUGAUGGUAGGUGAAGUGAUUUACUCAUGGAGCUGAAAUCAGUCGAAGAUACCAGCUGGCUGCAACUGUUUAUUAAAAACACAGCACUGUGCAA